This 111-nucleotide small nuclear RNA is filed under the name Oncorhynchus tshawytscha (Chinook salmon). Its description in RNAcentral is "U5 spliceosomal RNA". It matches the Rfam family "U5 spliceosomal RNA". From Rfam's summary of the family: U5 RNA is a component of both types of known spliceosome. The precise function of this molecule is unknown, though it is known that the 5' loop is required for splice site selection and p220 binding, and that both the 3' stem-loop and the Sm site are important for Sm protein binding and cap methylation. The record is from Rfam by way of RNAcentral. Lineage: Eukaryota; Metazoa; Chordata; Actinopteri; Salmoniformes; Salmonidae.
UGACUCUGGUUCUUUCAUUACGCACAAGCCUUUCCCUUUUUACUAAAGACUUUCCGUGAGAGAACACUUACGAGCUUCAACGUUAUUUUUGACGCUUUGCUUCUCAGAGCC